Molecule: long non-coding RNA, 334 nt
Filed under: Vitis vinifera (wine grape)
Lineage: Eukaryota; Viridiplantae; Streptophyta; Magnoliopsida; Vitales; Vitaceae
Description: long non-coding RNA (VVIN_LNC002607)
Source: RNAcentral
UUUAAUUAAUUUUAAUUAUAUUUCAUUUUCUUAGAUAUUCUCUAUAGGACAACCAAACAUAAAAAAAUAAUUUUCCUUAACAUUUUUUUCUUUUCUUAGUAACCAAACAUAAUCUUCAAAAGCUAUCCCACAUAGGGCAUAGUUAACAUAGUGUCUAGUGUCUCAAAUUAAAUUAAAAAUAGCCACCAUAACAGAGAUAACAUGGUCCAAUCAAGAAACAUGUCAGAGAAGUACAGAACAAAAAAUAGGUUCCAUGAGGUACGCAGCUCUCAAGUUGAGGCCUCAAAAGAUGACCAUUAUCUAAACCUCAUCCCGGGAAUCAUUCACUUAUGAG